Molecule: ribosomal RNA, 403 nt
Filed under: bacterium
Lineage: Bacteria
Description: partial 16S ribosomal RNA
Rfam family: Bacterial small subunit ribosomal RNA
Source: RNAcentral
UGGGGAAUUUUGCACAAUGGGGGAAACCCUGAUGCAGCGACGCCGCGUGAACGAAGAAGGUAUUCGUAUCGUAAAGUUCUUUCCUAGGGGAAGAAAAUGACAGUACCAUAGAAGAAAGCUCCGGCUAAAUACGUGCCAGCAGCCGCGGUAAUACGUAUGGAGCGAGCGUUGUCCGGAAUUAUUGGGCGUAAAGGGUACGCAGGCGGUUUAAUAAGUCGAAUGUUAAAGAUCGGGGCUCAACCCCGUAAAGCAUUGGAAACUGAUAAACUUGAGUAGGGGAGAGGAAAGUGGAAUUCCUAGUGUAGUGGUGAAAUACGUAGAUAUUAGGAGGAAUACCAGUAGCGAAGGCGACGUUCUGGACACAAACUGACGCUGAGGUACGAAAGCGUGGGGAGCAAACAGG